Long non-coding RNA from Anopheles stephensi (Asian malaria mosquito), 784 nucleotides. RefSeq lists it as uncharacterized. The transcript has 5 exons. Lineage: Eukaryota; Metazoa; Arthropoda; Insecta; Diptera; Culicidae. The record is from RefSeq and is a predicted model, not a curated record.
UUCUGUUGCUGUCUCUGUUGAAUCGAACAAGUUACGAAACAUGACAAACCUCCUGAUUGUGCUUCUCCUUGCAUUGUUUGCUGUGAUCGGAAUUUCCUCAGCAAUACCGAUUCACAUUAUUUUGCUCAACAUAGACGAAGACAUGAAGCAAGCUGACAUUACAGGCAUUUGGAAACCUUAGUAGCAUGUCCAAUUAGGAGAUCGUUGUGCAGCGAUGUUCACAGAAAUGGUUGUCUCGUAAAUAAAGUGCCUCCUAAGAUAUCAAAGUGUUGCUUAAUUUAAAACUAUAUCACAAGCUAUUUUUUAUAUAAAUAUUUCAAAUUGUUAAGCUAAAAACUAUAUCACACGAACAUAAAGUGUAACGCUUUAUUUGUUAUCACCAAUCUACCACAUUGCAAAAUUGAACGCUAAACCUUAUCGGCUACUGUUAUUCAACCUUGCAACACACACACACACAGGCAACACGCUAUUAUGUUCGAUUAGUCACAAAUUGUUAAAGCACAACUUAUCGACACAUAGUGUAAAAUAAUUUGCUUUAAAUUACCCACUGAGCUCUGGAAGUUGCUCCAGUGCGUUAACCACACACAUCAACAGCAAAACGGUGCCCUAAAGAUCGACAGAAACAAUGAAGUUGUCGAUGAAACUGUUCAUCCUCUCACAAGUAGUUGUGACGGGAGUUGUUGUGGCGCGGAAGUAUCCCGACACCUUCCGUAAUUUCUGCUCAGGUGCAGAAACCUCUCCAAAAGAUCCAGGGGCAAACGUUACUGCGACUGGUGCUAAGAGA